CGCUGGCUGCGUGCUUAACACAUGCAAGUCGAACGCUGAAGCUCUGGUGCUUGCACCGGGGUGGAUGAGUGGCGAACGGGUGAGUAACACGUGAGUAACCUGCCCCUGACUUCGGGAUAAGCCCGGGAAACUGGGUCUAAUACCGAAUAUGACCGUUCCUCGCAUGAGGGAUGGUGGAAAGUUUUUUCGGUUGGGGAUGGGCUCGCGGCCUAUCAGCUAGAUGGUGGGGUAAUGGCCCACCAUGGCGACGACGGGUAGCCGGCCUGAGAGGGCGACCGGCCACACUGGGACUGAGACACGGCCCAGACUCCUACGGGAGGCAGCAGUGGGGAAUAUUGCACAAUGGGGGAAACCCUGAUGCAGCGACGCAGCGUGCGGGAUGACGGCCUUCGGGUUGUAAACCGCUUUCAGCAGGGAAGAAGCCCCUUGGGGUGACGGUACCUGCAGAAGAAGUACCGGCUAACUACGUGCCAGCAGCCGCGGUAAUACGUAGGGUACGAGCGUUGUCCGGAAUUAUUGGGCGUAAAGAGCUCGUAGGUGGUUGGUCACGUCUGCUGUGGAAACGCAACGCUUAACGUUGCGCGUGCAGUGGGUACGGGCUGACUAGAGUGCAGUAGGGGAGUCUGGAAUUCCUGGUGUAGCGGUGAAAUGCGCAGAUAUCAGGAGGAACACCGGUGGCGAAGGCGGGACUCUGGGCUGUAACUGACACUGAGGAGCGAAAGCAUGGGGAGCGAACAGGAUUAGAUACCCUGGUAGUCCAUGCCGUAAACGUUGGGCACUAGGUGUGGGGGACAUUCCACGUUCUCCGCGCCGUAGCUAACGCAUUAAGUGCCCCGCCUGGGGAGUACGGUCGCAAGGCUAAAACUCAAAGGAAUUGACGGGGGCCCGCACAAGCGGCGGAGCAUGCGGAUUAAUUCGAUGCAACGCGAAGAACCUUACCAAGGCUUGACAUACACCAGACCGGGCUGGAAACAGUCCUUCCCCUUUGGGGUUGGUGUACAGGUGGUGCAUGGUUGUCGUCAGCUCGUGUCGUGAGAUGUUGGGUUAAGUCCCGCAACGAGCGCAACCCUCGUUCUAUGUUGCCAGCACGUGAUGGUGGGAACUCAUAGGAGACUGCCGGGGUCAACUCGGAGGAAGGUGGGGAUGACGUCAAAUCAUCAUGCCCUUUAUGUCUUGGGCUUCACGCAUGCUACAAUGGCUGGUACAGAGAGAUGCGAGACCGUGAGGUUUUAGCGAAUCCCUUAAAGCCAGUCUCAGUUCGGAUCGUAGUCUGCAAUUCGACUACGUGAAGUCGGAGUCGCUAGUAAUCGCAGAUCAGCAACGCUGCGGUGAAUACGUUCCCGGGCCU
RNAcentral lists this ribosomal RNA (1348 nucleotides) under uncultured bacterium. RNAcentral's name for it is "16S ribosomal RNA". It matches the Rfam family "Bacterial small subunit ribosomal RNA", at positions 34 to 1381 of the family's 1533-position model. The record is from RNAcentral.